AUGGAACAACCUGCAACUGCACCUGCAACUAGCAAUGCUAUUAGAGGGGCUAUGCAAAGAGGUAACAUAGCCAAACAACGGUUUGCUAGGAAGGAUAAAAAGAUGUUCGAGUCAUCGGUAGCGGUACUUGGUGAAUCCCGAAAUGUCUUGGCGUCUUCGCACAUAGGGGUACUUGGUGAAUCCCGUGUAGUCGAACUUGAGGGGCAUCGACAUCGUGGUACUUGGCAUACAUGGGUACUUGACAAAGAUGAAACGGAUCGCAAAGGUUGGUACUUCCGUCCAUGGGUACUUGGUUUUUGUUGCAGGGUGGCCUUCGGUGGACUUGGUGGAAACCACAACGUGUGCAGGAGACAAACAACUCAAAUCGUCCACGGCCGUGCGGAAGACAGUGGUGCUCCUGUUACGGGGAGGUUCGAAUCACAGCAGCAGCAAGGCAACAGAGGCACAAGGGGCGAGGCGCACGUGGGAGCGAACUCGGGGAAGGGCGGAGCAGCUAGCAAUGGUAGCCACGGCGGGAAGACAGAGGAGUGGAACUCCAGCGACGAGGAGGCGAAGCUCGAGGGAGAGCUCGGGCGACUGCUGCUCCGGCAGCUCGACAAGGAGGCAGGGCCAGCCGCGGUGCAGUGGAGGGGACGGAGCAGAGGUGGUCGACGGGUGCUGGGAGGUGGUUGA
Molecule: ribosomal RNA, 672 nt
Filed under: Triticum aestivum (bread wheat)
Lineage: Eukaryota; Viridiplantae; Streptophyta; Magnoliopsida; Poales; Poaceae
Description: partial small subunit ribosomal RNA
Source: RNAcentral